GCCUGGGUGGCUCAGUCGGUUAAGCGUCUGACUUCCGCUCAGAUCAUGCUCUCACGGUUCGUGGGUUCAAGCCCUGCGUUGGGCU
Molecule: transfer RNA, 85 nt
Filed under: Felis catus (domestic cat)
Lineage: Eukaryota; Metazoa; Chordata; Mammalia; Carnivora; Felidae
Rfam family: tRNA
About the family: Transfer RNA (tRNA) molecules are approximately 80 nucleotides in length. Their secondary structure includes four short double-helical elements and three loops (D, anti-codon, and T loops). Further hydrogen bonds mediate the characteristic L-shaped molecular structure. tRNAs have two regions of fundamental functional importance: the anti-codon, which is responsible for specific mRNA codon recognition, and the 3' end, to which the tRNAs corresponding amino acid is attached (by aminoacyl-tRNA synthetases). tRNAs cope with the degeneracy of the genetic code in two manners: having more than one tRNA (with a specific anti-codon) for a particular amino acid; and 'wobble' base-pairing, i.e. permitting non-standard base-pairing at the 3rd anti-codon position.
Source: Rfam by way of RNAcentral